UGGUUUGAAAGCUGUUAACCUCAAUUAAUAUCCAUCGCAUUACGUAUUCUACCAACUUUAUCGUCCCUUACACUUAGAGUAUUCCUUGUCUUUCGUUUACGAAUUUGUCAAAUCACUACUUCAGUCUGCCUUAAAGAGAAUAAGACUGUUGCUUCAACUUCCAGCAAAAACGUGAAUAAAGGAAUAGUUAUCGCAUCCAAUUUGCUCGGUUUUUCUGGUAUUGGAUUCGUUAAUUUUUUAACGAAACAUGGCUUGAAAGUCAUCGGCUUUCUUGUUCGAAAAGGCUAGGGUUUCAUGAUUCCUAUCAUUGUCACAUCUUAAAAAUAACUUCGUAAUGGAUUGUAGAUGGACUGUAUGUACCAGAAUAGCAGAAUUAUCCUUAAGCAGCUAACAUCCAUCCAAAAUUGAUUUUCAUAAAUGAGCGGGUAAAGUGUGACUGACUGAGUGUCGCCGCUACCAAAGAUAAAUGCACAGCCUUCGACUAUAUGUCAUAUCUACAAAAAACAAGAUCUGUUGAUUUUAACAAUGCCGCCACAUAAAAGCGAAUCGAAUUAAACAGCACUGACAACGAUCACGGCGAACCAAACAUGCAUCUGAAAUGAUAAUAUUACAAAUUAAGGUGUAGCUUCGUUCGUUUUGUGUUAUAUUCUAUAGCAGAUAUUCUAGAUGAGGCUAUGUGUGUUUUGUUCCCACUGAGAUUAACGAACCAUUGCAAUUUAAAGUGGAGCGUACCUAUUGAAGUAGAGAGCCCAAUCAAAUUCAUGCACGCGCAUAUAAAAUCCUAACGUCUACGAGUGUUGAGCAGAAUGUCAAUGGCGAUGAAAUCGCAUUCAUGACUCGAGCGACUUCGCACCUUUGAAGUAUUUGAAAUAUUUUGACGACGACCAAAAUUUGACGCCUACCCGCCGGAAGCAUAACUAAACAGCAGCAUAAAACGUUAAGCUCGAAUCCAGCUGCAGAUGCAGGUUCGAGACUUCUUUGAUGUACAACUGUCGAGCAAUUGUAUUCAAGAUAAUCUGCAGACCUAAACGGAGGCUUCUUUGCAUUUAGAAUGAAAAAUGAGAACAACUUCUAGAAGAAAAUCGACUCUUAUAAGCUACAAUGCUCGUUUUGCUCCGCACUUCAGCUGAGAGCAUCUGCAUCGCAGGAUUAUAUUGAUCAGUACGACAAUGGGCUGUAGCAUCAGCUAUGCUAAACAUCGCCUAUCGUCACGUUGA
Molecule: long non-coding RNA, 1217 nt
Organism: Varroa destructor (honeybee mite)
Lineage: Eukaryota; Metazoa; Arthropoda; Arachnida; Mesostigmata; Varroidae
Source: RefSeq, a predicted model, not a curated record